GACGUAGGGCGCGAGCGUUGUCCGGAUUUAUUGGGCGUAAAGAGCUCGUAGGCGGCUUGUCGCGUCGGCUGUGAAAACCCGCGGCUCAACUGUGGGCGGGCAGCUGAUACGGGCAGGCUGGAGUUCGGUAGGGGAGACUGGAAUUCCAGGUGUAGCGGUGAAAUGCGUAGAUAUCAGGAGGAACACCGGUGGCGAAGGCGGGUCUCUGGGCCGAUACUGACACUGAGGAGCGAAAGCGUGGGAAGCGAACAGG
This 253-nucleotide ribosomal RNA is filed under the name uncultured bacterium. Its description in RNAcentral is "partial 16S ribosomal RNA". It matches the Rfam family "Bacterial small subunit ribosomal RNA", at positions 524 to 776 of the family's 1533-position model. The record is from RNAcentral.